This 273-nucleotide ribosomal RNA is filed under the name Clostridioides difficile. Its description in RNAcentral is "partial 23S ribosomal RNA". It matches the Rfam family "Bacterial large subunit ribosomal RNA", at positions 2178 to 2449 of the family's 2925-position model. The record is from RNAcentral. Lineage: Bacteria; Bacillati; Bacillota; Clostridia; Peptostreptococcales; Peptostreptococcaceae.
UGGCGGAGCCAUCCUUGGGAUACCACCCUUGUAGUACUGGGACUCUAACCAUAGGCCAUGAAUCUGGUCUUGGGACACUGUCAGGUGGGCAGUUUGACUGGGGCGGUCGCCUCCCAAAAGGUAACGGAGGCGCUCAAAGGUUCUCUCAGUACGGUCGGAAAUCGUACGUAGAGUGUAAAGGCAAAAGAGAGCUUGAUUGCAAGACAUACAGGUCGAGCAAGGAUGAAAAUCGGACUUAGUGAUCCGGUGGUUCUGCGUGGAAGGGCCAUCGCU